AAACUAAAGAGGCACCUACGCACUCAAGGAUUUGCAGCACUCGGCCCAGCUCCAAGCUGCCAGCAGGUUUCACCCGUUAUCAAGCAAGACUGGGAGGAGGGAAACUGGGCAGGAAUUUGUGUCACCGAUACCCCAAACCAGCCGGCCUCUCCAUCUCAUCGUGCUCAGAGCAGGGCUCUCAGGAAGACACCAAGCAGGCUGGUGUUCAAUGAACCCUAUUUGCACGUUCCCUUUGGCUGUGGUCUCGUGUUGAAGUGCCGUGGUCGCUGUCCCGUAAGGUUUUGUCUGCCCUCAGCUUUCAGAUGCCGUGACUCGGGCACACGUCUUGUUCAGGGUAAGGAAGCCAGCCCACUGCUACAGCAGCACAAAGGGAGCUAUUCAGAGCAUGGCUUUGGCCUUACUACAGCUAGGAUGCUUUGGGAAUCUGAAUCAGUUCCUGGAGGGGAUUAUCCACCGUGCUGUGGGUCUGGAGCCCUGGCUCGGCCAGCCCCCCAUCCUGGGGCUCUCAGAAGUCACCAGCAGCGCACACGAGUGGUGCAGCAGCACUGGGGGAGGCGUGGGGCAUUGCUCUCCUCCCUCCAUCCCCUGCCGCUUCCCCUGUCUGUGUCCCAGGAGCGCUGCCUGUGCAGGGGUGCUGCUGGUGCACAGGGGGCUCCCAGGGCCGGGGCUGCAUCGGGGGAGCUGAGCUGGAGACAUGUGCUGCUGCCUGCUCGGGCAGGAUGGAAAUCUGCCUGAGCGCUGGCAGAGAAUGAGCACAAAUAUCACGGGAAAGCCAUUUCAGAGCAGCGAGAUGGACAUCAAACUGAUUCAGUGUUGACAGAAGCAUCACAGCUUUUGUGUGUUUGUCUGAGCAAAUCCCGUCCACUCUGCUAUUUCCUUGAUAAAAUAAACAUCCCUGCUUCCCUGCUGUGAGCUGAGCUCCAGCCCUGCCCCAGCCCUGCUCAAAAGUCUCCUCCUGGGAGCAGGGCGAUGCAGGAGUGGUGCCAGGGCACCUGCAGUCCUGGGUCCCCGGGGCUCCGUUACUGAGGUC
Molecule: long non-coding RNA, 1030 nt
Filed under: Cairina moschata (Muscovy duck)
Lineage: Eukaryota; Metazoa; Chordata; Aves; Anseriformes; Anatidae
Description: domestica (muscovy Duck (domestic type)) lncRNA (ENSCMMG00000003793.1)
Source: RNAcentral